Molecule: ribosomal RNA, 253 nt
Filed under: uncultured bacterium
Lineage: Bacteria
Description: partial 16S ribosomal RNA
Rfam family: Bacterial small subunit ribosomal RNA
Source: RNAcentral
UACGGGGGGGGUAAGCGUUGUUCGGAAUUACUGGGCGUAAAGGGCUCGUAGGCGGCCAACUAAGUCAUACGUGAAAUCCCUCAGCUUAACUGGGGAACUGCGUGUGAUACUGGAUGGCUUGGAUUUGGGAGAGGGAUGCGGAAUUCCAGGUGUAGCGGUGAAAUGCGUAGAUAUGUGGAGGAACACCGAUGGCGAAGGCAGCCCCCUGGGCCAAUACUGACGCUCAUGCACGAAAGCGUGGGGAGCAAACAGG